This is a non-coding RNA of Hypoxylon sp. CI-4A, 140 nucleotides long. The record is from the annotation of a GenBank genome assembly. Lineage: Eukaryota; Fungi; Ascomycota; Sordariomycetes; Xylariales; Hypoxylaceae.
GGCCGCGUAGUGUAGUGGUUAGCACGUAGGAUUUGUAAGUUCUUCUUCAAAACAAUCUCUUCUUGAGUAUUCAUUCUAACAACUCUCAGUGAUUCAAACCAAGCUUUCCUGAGACCUGAGUUAAAUCCUCGGCGGGGCCU